UGCAGUCGAACGCAGUAGCAAUACUGAGUGGCAAACGGGUGAGUAUAAUGUGGGUAUCUGCCUUUUGGUUUGGAAUAACAUGAGGAAACUUAUGCUAAUACCGGAUAAGCCUUUACAGGGAAAGUUUUAUACGCCGAAAGAUGAGCCCGCACUUGAUUAGUUUGUUGGUGAGGUAAUGGCUCACCAAGACAAUUAUCAAUAGCUGGUCUGAGAGGACGAUCAGCCACAUUGGGACUGAGACACGGCCCAGACUCCUACGGGAGGCAGCAGUAAGGAAUCUUGCACAAUGGGGGAAACCCUGAUGCAGCGAUGCCGCGUGAGUGAAGAAGGCCCUUGGGUUGUAAAACUCUUUCGUCGGGGAAGAAAAUGACUGUACCCGAAUAAGAAGGUCCGGCUAACUUCGUGCCAGCAGCCGCGGUAAUACGAAGGGACCUAGCGUAGUUCGGAAUUACUGGGCUUAAAGAGCUCGUAGGUGGUUAAAAUAGUUGAUGGUGAAAUCCCAAGGCUCAACCUUGGAACUGCCAUCAAAACUUUUUAGCUAGAGUGUGAUAGAGGAAAGUGGAAUUUCUAGUGUAGAGGUGAAAUUCGUAGAUAUUAGAAAGAACACCAAAUGCGAAGGCAACUUUCUGGGUCACUACUGACACUGAGGAGCGAAAGCAUGGGUAGCGAAGAGGAUUAGAUACCCUCGUAGUCCAUGCCGUAAACGAUGUGUGCUAGACGUUGGAAAUAUAUUUUUCAGUGUCGCAGCGAAAGCAUUAAGCACACCGCCUGGGGAGUACGACCGCAAGGUUAAAACUCAAAUGAAUUGACGGGGACCCGCACAAGCAGUGAAGCAUGUGGUUUAAUUCGAAGAUACGCGCAGAACCUUACCAACACUUGACAUGUUCGUCGCGAGAC
Molecule: ribosomal RNA, 897 nt
Filed under: uncultured marine bacterium
Lineage: Bacteria
Description: bacterial SSU rRNA
Rfam family: Bacterial small subunit ribosomal RNA
Source: RNAcentral